AUAUGCCACGCGUGCACUGCGGUUGCGAGCGUGCCGUCCGCACACAGUCGACUCCCGCUCGCGACGCUGUGUCAGCC
Molecule: small RNA, 77 nt
Filed under: Xanthomonas euroxanthea
Lineage: Bacteria; Pseudomonadati; Pseudomonadota; Gammaproteobacteria; Lysobacterales; Lysobacteraceae
Description: sRNA sX9
Rfam family: Xanthomonas sRNA sX9
Source: RNAcentral